AGCCUUGCUGAACUCCGGAAAAGGGUCUAGGUUGGAUUCUGUAAAGUUUGCCAUUGACUUCCAUAUGCGUAAUUCAACAAGGGGGAUUUAUCAUAUUAUAACGAUUCACACUGCAGUGGUAGAUGGAUGUCACCAUGGGCUCCGAACCAGUGACCUUGAAAACUCAUGAGUGAUCAUGGGGAUGAAUUCAUGGAGGGUAGGUCUUUUGAGGCUAUUAGCAACGAGCUGUGAAUGAAGCUGAUAUGUUCAGAGGCAGUAUAUGUCUGGAUUUUGAAUCAUGGGGAAGGAAAACAGUAAUGCUUUCAUCUUCAUGCCCUGUUUCUGUGUGACCAGAGUGAUCUAUUUGGAUGUUGCUGGCCUCAGAAGGGAUGCAGAUGUGUGUGUGUGUUAUCCUAUAUACCCCUGGAUAAAAGUGAUAGCACCCUUUCCUCUGUGACAGCAGGGACAAUGUUCAGCAACUACCUCCAGUACCCAAUUCUCGAGUUAGCAAGGUAUCUUGUUACAAAUUUUAAGAUAAAAGGUUGUAGAUCCAUUUAAAUUAAUGGACACAACUCAAUUAUAGCCAUUCAUUUCAAUAGGUCUGCUCCCAGUAGAACCCAAUCUUUGGCCCUUCUGGAAUUGCUAAGAAUGGCUAUGGACAAUGGCACCAAUUCAUCUCCAGAUGAGGAACAGAAUAUAUUUUAUGAAUGGAGCAACAGUCUCCCCAAUUAAGAUUCCCAGCAGCUGGUAUUCAGAGGCACACCAACUCCCAACAGCGGAAGUAGUACACAGCUAUUGUGGCUACGUACUAUACUUUGCAAUACAUCUUCUGCUCUCCUGUCUGUUGCCAGAAUGUUUAUCUUUUAUUUAACAAAAUGUGCACGCCUCCUAACUGUAAAUAAAAACUGCUAAGCAGUUUACAAGGGAUGUAAAAUAGACAUUCAAAUUGUUGAGUUAAAAAUAAUCAACAUUAAAAACAAGUUUUUGAAAAUGCAAAAUGAAUAAAAUUGGCAGAUAAAUGUAUACAUUAUAAGCUAAAAUUACAAAUUAAAACGCACAGCAACUUUACAUGUCUAGGUAGGCUUGUUUAAACAGAAACAUUUUAAGCAGGUGCCAGAAAGGGUACAGUGAAAGCAGUGUAGAAGGGCAGGCAGUUUUACAGCAUAGGAGAUCCUGUGUUAAGAGAUCAUUUCCUUACAAAUGUGGAACAAAUAUUAUGUGUAGUGGCGCCCUCCCUGUGGAACGCCCUCCUAUCAGAUGUCAAAGCGAUAAACAUUUACCUGACAUUCAGAAGACAUAUUAAGGCAGCCCUGUUCAGGGAAGUUUUUAAUGUGUGAUUUUAGUGUAUUUUUUGUUUCUGUGGAAGCCGCCCAGAGUGGCUGGGGAAACCCAGCCAGAUGGGCGGGGUACAAAUAAUAAAUUAAAAUUAUUAUUAUUAUAUGUGGCCCUUGUAGCACUCUGAGUUCUGCAGAUCAAAGCCAUCAGGCAUAUAUGGGGUAAGGUAAGCCUUCUAGUAAACUGGUCCCAAGCUGCUAUAUACUCAUAGUAAGACCUUGAACGCCACCCAGUAAGAAAUUGGCAAAUUUUGAGGGGAACUAUUGGUUUGGCCCACACCAGUGAUUAUUAAAUUCUUACCACCUCUGAAUUGUUCAGCUUUGUCCCUGGGCAAGAAAUGCUAUUUAGAUCUCUUUAUACAAGGGGGGGGGGGGCAUAGAAGAGAAGGUUUUUCAACAUUUAACAAUUUUGGUUUUUUCCCUUGGAGUCUCAGAUAACACUCUUUGUGAUAACCCAGCUGCCUCUGGAAGGCCCUUAUCUAAAUAGACUUUGUAGAACAUCAUUUUAAAAAGUCACAUUAAAGGUUAUUUAUUACUCCCUUAGAAAUGAAUCUUUCUAGCAUUUCUUCUUCUUCUCUUUGCUCUUCAUUUCAGCCACAUGAUAAAAGCUAAAACCAACUUCAGCAAUCCAAUAGGUAGAACAGGAGGAGAUGUAAGGGACUUGCAAAUAGCAUAAAUUUGAUUUUCUCCACAGAUCAUACUAUAGUUGCUAUAAAAAAUUAACAGUUGAAGACAAUUCUGUGGAUCCGGUGGAAACUGGAUUUGAACUAUAGGAUCACAAUGCCUCAAGGACUGCAUCCACCUGUGUGAACCGACCCAGACCCUGCAAUCAUUAUCUGAGGCCCUUCUUCAUGUGCCCCCUCCAUGAGAGGUCAGGAGGGUAGCAGUAUGUGAACAGGCCUUUUCUGAAGUGGCUCAGGAAGUGCAAGUGCAUGAAACCUGCUGCAAGGAACACAUGAUACAACAUUCACUUGCUUGCCCUUUCCGUUUGAAGUAAUUACUUAUACAUUUGAAUCUAUGCCUAUUAUUUAUUUUAAAAAUUUCUAUACUGCUGCCACCUUGGGCUCCAUUGAAAGGAAUGAUGGGGUAUACAUUGAAAUCAUCACCACAUCUACUUCUUCAUCAUCCAUGUUGCUCCUGGUCUAUCAAAAGAAAAACAGGAAAUAGGGUUUCAAUCUGCCUCAGAUAGGAUUACAUUUCUCUUGAAGACAUGCAUUUUCAAUUCAUCUCUCCUCCUGGAUUCAAUCCUGAAUAUGGAUGCCCAGGUUUUCACAGUGGCCAAAAGCACUUUUGCACAGCGGUAAAAUGUGAGACCUGGCCACAGAUGUAUUGUGAAUGUAAUGUUAUCCUGUGUG
Molecule: long non-coding RNA, 2668 nt
Filed under: Podarcis lilfordi (Lilford's wall lizard)
Lineage: Eukaryota; Metazoa; Chordata; Lepidosauria; Squamata; Lacertidae
Source: RNAcentral